RNAcentral lists this unclassified non-coding RNA (554 nucleotides) under Hevea brasiliensis (rubber tree). Lineage: Eukaryota; Viridiplantae; Streptophyta; Magnoliopsida; Malpighiales; Euphorbiaceae. The record is from RNAcentral.
AUUACAACCUCGCAUUAAACCUCACUGUUCGCAACCCCAACAAGCGAAUCGGAGUUUACUACGACGUCAUUGAAGCUUCCUCCUUUUACAAAGACCAGAGGCUAAAUACCCAGUGGCUGCCGCCGUUCUACCAAGGCCACAAAACCACCACCGUCCUCAGCCCCGACUUCGCCGGGCAGCCGGUGGUGCUUCUGGCCGGAGAGAAGCUUGCAGAGUUCAACGCCGAGAAACUUGCCGGCGCCUUCGACGUUGACGUGAAGCUCCGUCUCCAGCUGAGGUUGAAGUUCGGCGCGGUGAGGAUCGGGAAGUUCAAGCCAAAGGUUAACUGCGAAAUGAAGGUUCCGUUGAAAUCGAAUGCAAACUCCUUUACUUUCUUUCAGACCACUGGCUGCGAUUUCGAUUUUUGAUUGAACUCUGUUCGGUUUUGACUCAGUCAACUCUUUGCAGAUUUUUUUUGACUGAGUCAACUCUAUACUUAUUCUGAUUUUUUCCUUCAUAUUGUAUUUUUUUAUUGUUUUUGUUUCUAUGUUUAUAUACUUUACGUUUUGUAGUUG